RNAcentral lists this long non-coding RNA (925 nucleotides) under Homo sapiens (human). RNAcentral's name for it is "HSALNT0313774". The record is from RNAcentral. Lineage: Eukaryota; Metazoa; Chordata; Mammalia; Primates; Hominidae.
CUGCUAAAUUUAGACAGCUCACUGCGCAGCCACUAGCUAAUUAUCUGUUUAGAUAGCACUUUAACACGUUGUUGAGACUCAGUUAAAUGUUAAACAACCAAAAUUUUAAUAUCACUAGCCAAUUUCAUUCUUCCAGGUUUUCCCUGAUGGCUCCACAUCUCCAAGAAAACAUCUUCAACUAAAGAUGUCAAAGCACAAGCUCACUUCCCACGGAAGGUAGCAAUUACUAUUAUCUACUUGACAGCUACAAGAACCUAGGCACAGAGGUUAAGUGCUCUGCAAAUACUACCAGCCAGUGGUGGUUUUCCUGCCAGAACCAAGUUCUUGCCUUCCAGUGGACACCAUUGAUCUCUCAAGAUGAUUCUUUAAGUUAAAAAGCACGAAUCACAAAGGGCCUCAAAACCACAUUAAAAUUUAAGAUUGAUCUGCUCUUCUGCUUCUGAAUGUGAGAGCCUAUACUGGAUCUCUGAAGAAAAUAAAGAUGAGAUGAGGUUCUGAUCCCUUGGACUUCAUGAAGUUACGUGACAGAAAGUAUGAUUGUCUAGCCGAUACUUGACUGUGUGAAACCUUCAUCUACUCCGGAAUCCUGAGGCACAGACUCAGAGGCCCUCUGACUCACGAUUAGGGUUGUCAGGGUGAUGCAACAGCAAGACCAUAGCCUUUGGUGUCGGAAUACCAAGUUUUGAAGCUCAGUUUCCCCACUCACUAAUUUUCAGUGAGCACAUACAUAAUUUGAAAUCUGAAAAUGGACAAUAAUGCCUACCUACUUCAAAAUUUGGUUUGAGAAUCAAGUGAAAUAUUAAUAUAUAUGUAAGCAUUUUAUGAACAAGGAAGCAAGUUAUAAAUGCAUUAUCUUGUUAAUUUAGUCAUUUCACUAGGGGUGGGUCCAAUGUGGGCCUCCUUUGAGGUAGACUGUAUUUCAUGA